This 434-nucleotide ribosomal RNA is filed under the name uncultured bacterium. Its description in RNAcentral is "partial 16S ribosomal RNA". It matches the Rfam family "Bacterial small subunit ribosomal RNA", at positions 341 to 792 of the family's 1533-position model. The record is from RNAcentral.
ACGGAAGGCAGCAGUGGGGGAUAUUGCACAAUGGGGGAAACCCUGAUGCAGCGACGCCGCGUGAGUGAAGAAGUAUUUCGGUAUGUAAAGCUCUAUCAGCAGGGAAGAAAAUGACGGUACCUGACUAAGAAGCUCCGGCUAAAUACGUGCCAGCAGCCGCGGUAAUACGUAUGGAGCAAGCGUUAUCCGGAUUUACUGGGUGUAAAGGGAGCGUAGACGGCGAGGCAAGUCUGAUGUGAAAGCCAUGGGCUCAACCCAUGAACUGCAUUGGAAACUGUCUUGCUAGAGUGUAGGAGAGGUAAGCGGAAUUCCUAGUGUAGCGGUGAAAUGCGUAGAUAUUAGGAGGAACACCAGUGGCGAAGGCGGCUUACUGGACGAUAACUGACGUUGAGGCUCGAAAGCGUGGGGAGCAAACAGGAUUAGAUACCCUGGUA